This 246-nucleotide unclassified non-coding RNA is filed under the name Hevea brasiliensis (rubber tree). Lineage: Eukaryota; Viridiplantae; Streptophyta; Magnoliopsida; Malpighiales; Euphorbiaceae. The record is from RNAcentral.
GCUUGAUCUUGAUUUACCAGCAGAGAAGUACAUCGCAGAGAACGAUUCAGACGGAGAAGGCGAGCUUGAGCUGACACUAGCGAUUGGAAGGAGGAGUAAGAAUAAGAAGAAGAAGAACAAAGAGGAAUCGCUUUCCUCGGGAGCGAGUUUUUCGUCAUCGUCACCGGAGUCUAGUGGGGUGAGACUGAAUGGCAAUGAGUGGAUACAGUUCCGGAGUGAUAGAAGGAAUGGGUACAACGUUGAAGA